RNAcentral lists this ribosomal RNA (253 nucleotides) under uncultured bacterium. RNAcentral's name for it is "partial 16S ribosomal RNA". It matches the Rfam family "Bacterial small subunit ribosomal RNA", at positions 524 to 776 of the family's 1533-position model. The record is from RNAcentral.
UACGGAGGGUGCAAGCGUUAUCCGGAUUCAUUGGGUUUAAAGGGAGCGUAGGUGGCCUUAUAAGUCAGCGGUGAAAUCUCUGGGCUUAACCCAGAAAUUGCCAUUGAUACUGUAGGGCUUGAGUAUAGUUGCCGUUGGCGGAAUAUGACAUGUAGUGGUGAAAUACAUAGAGAUGUCAUAGAACACCGAUUGCGAAGGCAGCUGACGAAACUAUAACUGACACUGAGGCUCGAAAGUGCGGGGAUCAAACAGG